GGUUUUAUAGUUUAAGUGAAAAUAUUAAAUUGCAAAUUUAAUGAUAUGGUAAUUCGUUAAAACUU
RNAcentral lists this transfer RNA (65 nucleotides) under Prionopetalum kraepelini. Its description in RNAcentral is "tRNA-Cys". It matches the Rfam family "tRNA". Rfam says of the family: Transfer RNA (tRNA) molecules are approximately 80 nucleotides in length. Their secondary structure includes four short double-helical elements and three loops (D, anti-codon, and T loops). The record is from RNAcentral. Lineage: Eukaryota; Metazoa; Arthropoda; Diplopoda; Spirostreptida; Odontopygidae.